RNAcentral lists this ribosomal RNA (409 nucleotides) under bacterium. RNAcentral's name for it is "partial 16S ribosomal RNA". It matches the Rfam family "Bacterial small subunit ribosomal RNA", at positions 355 to 776 of the family's 1533-position model. The record is from RNAcentral.
UGGGGAAUAUUGCACAAUGGGCGAAAGCCUGAUGCAGCGACGCCGCGUGAGGGAUGACGGCCUUCGGGUUGUAAACCUCUUUCAGCAGGGACGAAGCGCAAGUGACGGUACCUGCAGAAGAAGCACCGGCUAACUACGUGCCAGCAGCCGCGGUAAUACGUAGGGUGCAAGCGUUGUCCGGAAUUACUGGGCGUAAAGAGUUCGUAGGCGGUUUGUCGCGUCGUUUGUGAAAACCUGCAGCUCAACUGCUGGCUUGCAGGCGAUACGGGCAGACUUGAGUACUGCAGGGGAGACUGGAAUUCCUGGUGUAGCGGUGAAAUGCGCAGAUAUCAGGAGGAACACCGGUGGCGAAGGCGGGUCUCUGGGCAGUAACUGACGCUGAGGAACGAAAGCGUGGGUAGCGAACAGG